GCACUUUUGAAAAAGCUGAGAUCUUUAUGUUGAAUACUUCCCAUUAGAUUUGACUAUCUUUUUGUGAAUAAAAAUUAUAUCGAACUUUCAAAAAUGAAAUGUGCCCGUGACAUCACUACCAUGGACAGUUAUUGCAGCACAAACAGUGCCUGUCUGUGUUAUGAUUUUGUCUCCAAAGAUUCCAGACUGGAUUCUUGGGUGCAGUGUUGAAAGAAAGAAAAUAGCCGUUGACAAUGAUUUCCCAAACAGAAUGCUUUCACUCUUUGGGAAGAUAAAGCCCUUUGACUCAGUUCCUGAGGUCAUGUACUAACAUGCCUUUGGUGUGCCUGUUGGUCCUAGGUGGAGUGGGGAACACAGACCUGGUUCCUGUCUUCAAGCAACUCAGGAUCUAAUCUGCAGACAAGACAUGGAUCCAUCCAAAAGCAACGCACGACGAUGUUGUGGAGGCCGGUGGGAGUGAGAAGACCGAGGAGGAGGCCCAGGCUGUGACCAAGGAGGAGGAGGCGGGCCCGGCCCCUGAGAAGGGGGCAGAGGAGGCCGCAGCCGUUGGCGAGGCAGAGGAGGAGGCGGGCCCAGGCAGUGACAAUGACAAGACGUCCCCAGCCAGGGCUGGGGCUGAGCAGGAAGAUGAAUCUGCCCCCAAGGUGGACGGGACGGACGGUGAAAGCUCGUGGAGCACUGUGAGUCUGUGUGGCAGCGUCCACGAUGAAGAUGACACAGACUCGGUGGUGGAGAGCAGCAACAGCCACCAGGACGAGGAGGCUGCAGAAUCUUGCUUUGGGAGGAAAGGAUCUUGCUUCAGGAGCCUGAGGAUAAGUUUGUCCUCUGCGAGCUUGGCUAGACUAAUCCCCUGGUGGCCGCACAACAGGGUGCACCCAGCCACUGAGCCAGAUGAAGGUACUGUGGAACCUGACUCAGUACACUCAGGCAUGAACGAUGAUUCUGGUUCAUUCAGUGCUCCAGAUUUCAGAACAAACUCUACAGGUGCUAAGCCGUAUCUCUCUUCUAGUGCAUGGUGCAAAUUCAAAUGAACUAACUCGGAGUUCCGGUCGUGGCGCAGUGGUUAAAGACUCCGACUAGGAACCAUGAGGUUGCGAGUUGGAUCUCUGGCCUUGCUCAGUGGGUUAAGGAUCCGGGGUUGCCGUGAGCUGUGGUGUUGGCCACAGAUGCGGUUCGAAUCCCGAGUUGCAGUGGCUGUGGCGUAGGCCAGUGGCUACAACUCUGAUUAGACCCCUCUCCUGGGCGCCUGCGCAUGCCAAGGGAAGCGGGCCUAGAAAAGGCAAAAUGACCAAAACCCAACCAACCAACCAAAACCCAAAUUGAAUCACUCCCUGGGCACUUUCACAACCAUGAAAAUAAUGGUUCGUUUAAACUCAACAUUUGGUUCCUGGUUAAUAGCAGAGAUGCCCUCACUCAUGUU
This 1420-nucleotide long non-coding RNA is filed under the name Sus scrofa (pig). RNAcentral describes it as "lncRNA (ENSSSCG00070022084.1)". The record is from RNAcentral. Lineage: Eukaryota; Metazoa; Chordata; Mammalia; Artiodactyla; Suidae.